This 906-nucleotide ribosomal RNA is filed under the name Pinnularia borealis complex sp. Its description in RNAcentral is "partial 28S ribosomal RNA". It matches the Rfam family "Eukaryotic large subunit ribosomal RNA", at positions 41 to 1006 of the family's 3401-position model. The record is from RNAcentral. Lineage: Eukaryota; Bacillariophyta; Bacillariophyceae; Sellaphorales; Pinnulariaceae.
UAUUACUAAGCGGAGGAAAAGAAAUUAACCAAGAUUGACAUUGUAAGGGCGACUGAUAUGUCAACAGCUCAGAAUGUGAAUCAGUGCUGCAGUAGCAGCACUGAAUUGUGGUCUUACGACUUGUGCAUCAAUAAGCCAGAUUCUGUUUUUUGGAACAAAAUAGCAAAGAGGGUGAAAUUCCUGUUUGUCUGGCCAGCUGAAACACCUGUCACUGAGUCGAGUUACUUGGGACUGUAACUCUAAGAAAAGGUGGUAAAUUCCAUCUAAAGCUAAAUAUAGGCUGGAGACCAAUAGCGUACAAGUACCGUGAGGGAAAGAUGCAAAGAACUUUGAAAAGAGAGUGAAAGAGUACCUGAAAUUGCUGAAAAGGAAGCAAACAAAGCUAGUGAAAGCUGUGCCAUAUUUUCCAACUUGCUUGCAUCUUGGGCGCUGUGGCCAGUCCAGUUCAUCUUGAUUGCGGCAUGUGAAACACGGCAAGGUAAGAAGUAUCUUGACUUGCCUGUGUCACAUGCUGUCAUUGAGAGGUACCAAAUAGAUUUGUUUGUCCCGUCUAGAAACACGGACCAAGGAGUCUAACAUAUAUGCAAGUACUGAGGUUGUAAAUCUUGGUGCUCAAUGAAAGUAUCAGUGGCUGGAAUGUCUUGCACAUUGCACAGUCCACCGGCCAUGAUCCUUUGGGAAAAUGGUCUGAGUGUGAGCAUACAUGUUGGGACCCGAAAGAUGGUGAACUAUGCUUGAGUAGGGUGAAGCCAGGGGAAACUUUGGUGAAGGCUCGCAGCGAUUCUGACGUGCAAAUCGAUCGUCAAACUUGAGUAUAGGGGCGAAAGACUAAUCGAACCAUCUAGUAGCUGGUUCCCUCCGAAAUUUCCCUUAGGAUAGCUGCAAUCUAUUAGCUCAGUUUUGUCA